Molecule: long non-coding RNA, 996 nt
Organism: Sapajus apella (tufted capuchin)
Lineage: Eukaryota; Metazoa; Chordata; Mammalia; Primates; Cebidae
Exons: 2
Source: RefSeq, a predicted model, not a curated record
AUUUUCAUUAGCAGUAUUAGUUUGGUUUUAUAAAGGUUUAUUGAGCUUCUACAAAGUACUUAUCACUGGACAAAUAAAUAUUUUCCUUUAAUGAGGGGCUAUUGGCAAAGAGUGGGUGAGGAGGAAAACAAGUAUGACUACAUUACACUAGCCACAUUUUAGAAUCUAUUUUUGCCUAAAGGCUUGUUCCAAAUGAUAGAUGCUUUCUAACAUGUAAAUGGGUUGAUUUUUUUAUAUGCACUGUUUAUUAAGCCACCUAGAAACCUCUAAUAAUCAAGAGUUUGUGAUACUUAGUUGGUGAUCUAUUUAUUGUUUCAUUUGUUUAUUCAUUCAACACAAAUUUGUUUAUAAUCCUCUAUCCUGUUGGCAAGGAUUACUCGAUUCCAGGCUUACCUCUCUGAUUAACUUGUAUCUGAAUAAUAGCUCAGUAAUUGUCACAAUCCAGAUGUUGGAGAUCAGGGCAGAUUCCAAGGGCAGUUACAUCAUUCUCAUCUCUGGGAAUUCUAAGAAUACACUGGUGGAACAUGGGAAAAAUAUGCCAGAGGGGCAUAUUUUAAAGGGCUCUAAUUUAGGAUUUAAAAAUUGCAUUGCCGCAGUAUAGGGAAAAUAUGUUUAUUACCUCACAGCAGCUUUUUUGUUGCCAAAGGAAAUUGUUGGCUUUGUUGUUUGCUACAUGGAAUGUGUAACCUUUUCCCCCUAAGCUUUGUCUUAGUCUCUUUUCAGCAGUACAUUCCUUUUCCUUUCCUCUGUUUAAAAUCUCACCACUGUCAUACCCAUUCUCUUUGCAGAGCUAACAAUGACUAACAGAACUGACUCUGCUUCUGUUGCAGUUUUUUUUUUUUUCCUCAUGUUUGUGGGUACGCAGUAGGUUUAUAUAUUUAUGGGGCAGAUGAGAUGUUUUGAUACAGGCAUGCAAUAAAACAAUUUCUUUAUACAAAAAGCAAAGCAAAACUUACUAAACAGACUUUUAAGAGGAGAUUUUACUCUUAUUCUUUA